RNAcentral lists this ribosomal RNA (429 nucleotides) under Gemmatimonadota bacterium. RNAcentral's name for it is "Gemmatimonadetes bacterium partial 16S ribosomal RNA". It matches the Rfam family "Bacterial small subunit ribosomal RNA", at positions 355 to 776 of the family's 1533-position model. The record is from RNAcentral. Lineage: Bacteria; Pseudomonadati; Gemmatimonadota.
UAGGGAAUCUUUGGCAAUGGACGAAAGUCUGACCGAGCAACGCCGCGUGAGUGAAGAAGGUUUUCGGAUCGUAAAACUCUGUUGUUAGAGAAGAAAAAGGACGUUAGUAACUGAACGUCCCCUGACGGUAUCUAACCAGAAAGCCACGGCUAACUACGUGCCAGCAGCCGCGGUAAUACGUAGGUGGCAAGCGUUGUCCGGAUUUAUUGGGCGUAAAGCGAGCGCAGGCGGUUUCUUAAGUCUGAUGUGAAAGCCCCCGGCUCAACCGGGGAGGGUCAUUGGAAACUGGGAGACUUGAGUGCAGAAGAGGAGAGUGGAAUUCCAUGUGUAGCGGUGAAAUGCGUAGAUAUAUGGAGGAACACCAGUGGCGAAGGCGGCUCUCUGGUCUGUAACUGACGCUGAGGCUCGAAAGCGUGGGGAGCAAACAGG